GGAAAUUGAAGUUCAAACAUUAAUAGGGCCGAUUCCUAGACAUUUUUAAAAUGUCUCCCCUGAGACAGUUUUGGAAGGCAAAGUGACUAAAGUGUUGCAGAACCUAGUCAGGAGGAAAGACGAGUCUGACCCAGUAUCACUGGGAGGCAACUGUAAGGAAAAACGGUUUCUCUUUUUAAUCCCAGGCAUUGAGACCCCUCACCAGUAAACUGGCUACACCAUCUGAUGUCCCAUCUCCUGGGAAGCCGCCCUGAUUUUUGGAGGGAGCCACUCUUUUCCCGAGCUGAUCUUAGCAACAGUUGUUAGUGGGUGACAAGCUCUUCUUUUCAGGGGACUGUAUUAAAAAGGUGCUCAUUAGCCAUUGAUAUCUAAUGUGAAUGUCUUUUUGUUUUUAAUGUGAAUUUUUUUUAGUGUAACUUUGUUUAGGGGGGGAUGGGCAGAGGGAGAGAGAGAAUCCCGAGCAGGCUCCAUGCCCAGCACAGAGCCCGAUGCGGGGCUCAAUCUCAUGAUCGUGAGAUCAUGACCUGAGCCACCCGGGCACCCCCAUUUAGAGCUCUUUUUAUUUCAGGAAACUCUGGAGGUUGUAAUGAUGCAACACACGCCUGUUCUUCUCACACAUUCUAGAGACGUCAAUUAAAGCCAUGCAUGGCGCUCCCAGCACGCUCAGCAAAGGCAUGGGGAACGUGGCUGCCACUGGGUUGACAGGACAGUUUCCAAAACGAUGCCUUUCUAAGACCAUGUGCAUCAUGGCGCCUCCCUGCUUACGAAUGUGAACUAGAAAACCCCACGUGACCUCCGGACGUGCCCCUCUGAUGACCAGGCAAGUCAUUUAAGCUCUCAAGGUUUCUUAUUUUUGUUUUUAAAUCUUGGAACCUAUGAGAUAGUAUAUGUAAAUAGAAAUAUAAGGCUAUUGUGAAGUUUGACCAUUGCCUCUUGAGGGUCCUGGAGCUGUUGGCUCGUCAAACACGUUGAUAAACCAAGUUCUUGUUCCCACUGGCUCCUCACAGUGUUUUCCUCGCUCCUGCUCUUCAGCAUCUAAGUGAAUGUGUGGCUAAUGGUGAGAUAAGUAUGGGGGAAAUAAUAAUAAUAAUAAUAAUAAAGAAUUCCAUUCUUUUUUUAAAAUUUUAUUUAUUUAUUUAUUUGAGAGAGAGAGAGAGAGAUCAC
This 1164-nucleotide long non-coding RNA is filed under the name Mustela putorius furo (domestic ferret). Its description in RNAcentral is "lncRNA (ENSMPUG00000026223.1)". Lineage: Eukaryota; Metazoa; Chordata; Mammalia; Carnivora; Mustelidae. The record is from RNAcentral.